UGGCCGAAUGGUUAUGUUGUCCACUUUGUAAGCGGAAGAUCAUGGGUUCGAUUCCCAU
RNAcentral lists this transfer RNA (58 nucleotides) under Culex quinquefasciatus (southern house mosquito). It matches the Rfam family "tRNA", at positions 8 to 63 of the family's 71-position model. Rfam says of the family: Transfer RNA (tRNA) molecules are approximately 80 nucleotides in length. The record is from Rfam by way of RNAcentral. Lineage: Eukaryota; Metazoa; Arthropoda; Insecta; Diptera; Culicidae.